GGAAGUAAAAGUCGCAACAAGGUUUCCGUAGGUGAACCUGCGGAAGGAUCAUUACAGAGUUCAUGCCCUCACGGGUAGAUCUCCCACCCUUGAAUAUUUAUACCUUAGUUGCUUUGGCAGGCCGUGGAAACACCAUGGGCUCCGGCUUAUGCGUGCCUGCCAGAGGAAACAAACUCUGUUUUUAGUGAUGUCUGAGUACUAUAUAAUAGUUAAAACUUUCGACAACGGAUCUCUUGGUUCUG
RNAcentral lists this unclassified non-coding RNA (242 nucleotides) under plant metagenome. Its description in RNAcentral is "partial contains small subunit ribosomal RNA, internal transcribed spacer 1, and 5.8S ribosomal RNA". The stretch from base 1 to 54 matches the Rfam family "Eukaryotic small subunit ribosomal RNA", at positions 1778 to 1831 of the family's 1831-position model. The record is from RNAcentral.